This 1051-nucleotide ribosomal RNA is filed under the name Schistosoma indicum. RNAcentral describes it as "16S ribosomal RNA". The stretch from base 696 to 978 matches the Rfam family "Archaeal large subunit ribosomal RNA", at positions 2151 to 2715 of the family's 2987-position model. The record is from RNAcentral. Lineage: Eukaryota; Metazoa; Platyhelminthes; Trematoda; Strigeidida; Schistosomatidae.
UAGUGAGUACUAUAGAAAAACAGUAGAUUUAGAGGGUUUUGUCGUACCUUUUGUAUCAUGAUUUUUUGAUAGAGGUUGUAUUAUUUAUAUGUCUCGAAAGGCUUACGAUUUUAUUUAGUUUAAUCUUUUAGCUAUAUGUUCGGUUAACGGGGUUACAGAAUAUUAGGUGAAUAUCCUGAGAAAUUAAAUAAUGAGUGAUAAAUAAUUCUGAACUUUUAAUAUCUGGUUAGUAACUUGAAUUUCCGAAAUAUGUGGAUUAUUGGAUGUGCUGAUUAUCUAGGACAGAGAUUAAUAUAGUAGUGUGAUUAAUAAUUGACUGAGAUUAAAAUUGUCUUUGGUUUAGUAAGUUAUUUACCUAGCUUGAGAUGUGUAGUGUAUUCUUGUAUGGAUGGUGAGUCAUUUUGUGAAUUGGUUGAAUAAAAAUGAAAGAAUAAGUAGGUUUAUAGGUAUAAUAAAAGUUGUUUUUUUUUUCGGUGGUUGCUUUCAACUGUUUAUUAAAAACAUUUCUAUUUGGGAGAGAUAAAUAGUAUGACCUGCCCAAUGAGCUUUUAAAUGAAUGGCCGCGGCUUUAGUCGUGCUAAGGUAGCAUAAUAUAUAGUUUUUUAAUUGGAGACUUGUGAAUGGUUUAAUGAAAGGUGUCUAAAAUGAUAACUAUUUCUGAAUUUAGUACGGUGGUCAGGAAUCCAUUGUUGAGAUAUAGGACGGAAAGACCCCAAGAGCUUUACAAAGUUUUGUUUUAUUUGGGGUAAAUGUAGAUAAUUCAUUUAUUUUUAGAACCUAAUGGAAUAUAGGAUAAAGUUACCUUGGGGAUAACUGAGUAAAGGGCGGAAAGAGGUCUUAUUGAUCCGUUUGUUACUACCUCGAUGUUGGCUUUGAGUACCUGUUCGGUGUAGAGGCUGAAUAAGGAGGUCUGUUCGACUUUUAAUUUUUAAUGAGCUGAGUUAAAACCGGCGUAAGCCAGGUUGGUUCUUAUCUAUAAGUGGUUCUAGUUAGUACGAAAGGAGGGUUAGGGCAUAAUGUUUAUAAUAGGUUUGGAAUAAUUAAGGAUUAG